RNAcentral lists this long non-coding RNA (1635 nucleotides) under Homo sapiens (human). Its description in RNAcentral is "long independently transcribed non-coding RNA 2824 (LINC02824)". Lineage: Eukaryota; Metazoa; Chordata; Mammalia; Primates; Hominidae. The record is from RNAcentral.
AAUGGUGGGGCAAACUUUGGAGCAGGCUAUCACGGUUGGAACAAUCAGUGCUGAAGGAGUUGAAGAGGAUGGGCAAGCCACGGCUUCUCCUUCUGGAAACGGAGAUCAUCUCCAAAGAAGACCAUCAUUUUCUACUAUGGACAAUGUGGAUGCUAGUUCUCUCCCAUUCACAGGUGUGGAAAUGGCCUGUAGCCUGCAGGAGCCUGAGGAGAAGAGAGGAGCUAGCAGCCCCAGUCAAGUCUAGCGAAGUGCAUCUUGGCCUGCAGUGAUGGCUGUUUCCCCCAGAAAGUUCUUCCACUUCUGGAUCCCACCUCGACUGAACCUUACACAAUCUACUGCUGGACUUUCCAAUGGCAUGAGUUGUACAGGAUGCAAAUCACAGGCAGAUGAUUCCCAAAGACUCUUCUCCUCCGCCCAGAUCUUGAUGUCCUACCAUCCCCUGAAGUUGAUGUAUGUGGGGUUCUGAAAGGUCUCAACACGUGGCAGUAGGCAGCAGAAUUAAUUCCCUGUGCCUCCUGCAAUUCCCUGAGCCUCCCUUUCUCAAAACGCCAGCUUUCUCACAAGGAUAGCCUGAGACAUACGGAAGUGGGAAUGAUGUUCUGUUCUCAGGUGAAGUGUUUGUGCAUAUGUGUGUGUCGGGGGAGAGGAAGGUAAGCAAAACCAGUUGUUCUCAGAUGACUUGCAGCACCUGAGCAUGUCCUUUAUUUUAUCUUUUUUUUAAAAAAAAUACUUAAUAGCAUUUUCACUUCCUAGUUUCUCCAUUAUGUUGAAGUUGAAUAGUCUUUGGUAGGUCUUGUCUUACUUUUCAAGAACAUUAUGGGAAUUCUGCAAAAAGAUAGCUACAUGCAAAGCUAUCAUUUCUAUUGUUACAAAAAUAUGUGACACACUUACCUUAUGCUAUCAAAGAUGAAUGCUAUCCUCCACAUAUCCUUUAAAUGGGCUUCACAAGAAGAGGAUGGUCCCAUUUCUGAACAUUGCCUUGUCAAUGGAUGAGGAGGUUUGCACUCAGUCAAACUGGUUAAGCUAGAAUCAUAUUUCCCUAAAUCUCUUGUCCUGUUUAUUUCCAGGUGAUGAUUGGCCAAUAAAAUAAAUUUAGACGUGAUUUGGAUAGUAAAAAUGAAGCCACAGUCACUGAUCACUGAAGAUCAUUGUGGGUACAGGUGGGAGCUAAGAGCUAGCAAGGUAUCAGUGGGAUUUACAAGUCUUUUCUUUAUUCUUUAUCCUGCUCUUCUUGUCAAUUGCCAGAUUUCCUGACCAACAAAGGGCCCAGGCCGACUGCCACAAGUCUGAAUGCAGACCUGCAGAAGCAGCAGCAACUCAAAAGGACAGCAUUCCACAGACCUUCCCUGCACUGCCCUUCAUAGCCCACUCUGCAGCUGGACCUGCCUACUCGCCAUACACCCUGAAAGCUCCCACUUAUCCACCUAACCUCAACUUGCUCUAGUGUUCGAGGAGGGCUGAGUGGUGGUUUUCCUCGGGCCUUCCAACACUUGCCCUUCUCCCCCAAGUAUUACAAGCCCUCAUUCUAAAUAUAUCCCUGAUUUCAUAAUACUAAUAGAAGUGCUGCUUCUCUGAUUAAACCCUGACUGACACAUGGAGUGUUUUAUUACCAUUUAAUAAACAUCAUGUCAAACC